GAUGAACGCUGGCGGCGUGCCUAAUACAUGCAAGUCGAGCGAACAGACGAGGAGCUUGCUCCUCUGACGUUAGCGGCGGACGGGUGAGUAACACGUGGAUAACCUACCUAUAAGACUGGGAUAACUUCGGGAAACCGGAGCUAAUACCGGAUAAUAUAUUGAACCGCAUGGUUCAAUAGUGAAAGACGGUUUUGCUGUCACUUAUAGAUGGAUCCGCGCCGCAUGAGCUAGUUGGUAAGGUAACGGCUUACCAAGGCGACGAUGCGUAGCCGACGUGAGAGGGUGAUCGCCCACCCUGGAACUGGGACACGGUCCAGACGCCUACGGGAGGCAGCAGUAGGGAAUCUGCCGCAAUGGGCGAAAGCCUGACGGAGCAACGCCGCGUGAGUGAUGAAGGUCUUCGGAUCGUAAAGCUCUGUUAUGAGGGAAGAACAAAUGUGUAAGUAACUAUGCACGUCUUGACGGUACCUAAUCAGAAAGCCACGGCUAACUACGUG
RNAcentral lists this ribosomal RNA (497 nucleotides) under uncultured bacterium. RNAcentral describes it as "partial 16S ribosomal RNA". It matches the Rfam family "Bacterial small subunit ribosomal RNA", at positions 28 to 507 of the family's 1533-position model. The record is from RNAcentral.